This is a long non-coding RNA of Astatotilapia calliptera (eastern happy), 865 nucleotides long. Lineage: Eukaryota; Metazoa; Chordata; Actinopteri; Cichliformes; Cichlidae. The record is from Ensembl.
CAGCUAAGUUAGCUGCUCUGCUAACCAACUGUCACGACUCGUAAUUUUUCCCUUAAGUUGGCGGGAUACACUGUGUUAGAAGUUGUUUCGACAAGCGUGGAGGGAAAGCUGACUUUAUGGUUUGGCUCCUUCGACUCCUUCCUCCCGUGUGAUAUGACAUCACGACUCGGUUACAAGAGAAGCUCGAGCUCUACAGCAGACGGUUGACAUCUGGUCAGGAUGGCUGCUCAGGUGGAGGUUCAGACUACGGAGGUAGGAAGGACAGUGGCAGGAGGACGACAUCACCUGACUCCCCUGACAGACUCCAGCAAUAAGAGCCUCAUUGACAUCCCGUCUGCCAAUCAGCCGCAGCUCAUCGCAGCUGAACCAAACAAGCCUGCCCCAAGCGCCAAGCCGCGACUUACUCCCAAACCUUUUUCUGUGGAGAAAAAUCCUACAAUUAAGCCCAUACUUGCCCCAAAGCCUCAAACUAAACCCAGACCUGAGUCCACUCGCCUUGCUGGAUACAAACCAGAGCUUCCAAGCAAUCCAAAACCACAGCAGCCGGUUUCCAGCAGCAAACCCAGACCACUUUUAACCAACCCCAACCGUCCUGCCUCUACCUCCUUUCGAUCACCCACUAAGUUGAACACUGGACAGACAACAAAGCUAGUAGCCCAGCCAUUUAAACCAGCUCCUCCACAUGACACUGGAGGCCCUAGCAGACCCACCCCUCCUCCUGUGCCAGCACAGAGGCAGAAACCCUCAACAUCAAGCUUGGCCUACUCAAAGAGCUUUAAAAAACUACCAGCAGCAGAGUGGUCUGGAACCACUAAAAAAGAAGACGAAAAAGGCCACAAUGCACAAGGUAAAGUUGGAACCUCCC